GGAGUGGGACCCUGGAGAAGGCAGGGUCUGACCAGGCUUGGCCGGUCAGACUCCAGCCCUGAUAUGGCUAGCCUCCAUAGUAUUGUAUAGUCUAGACACCAUAGUGGAGGCUAUAGAGGAUUAUUCAACUCUUACCCUACGAGGUCCGGAACCUGCUGGUUUUCUGUUCUAUCUAAUAAUUAAUUGCCCAGGUCUACAUUAGUCCCUGAUUAGAGGGGAACAAUGAAAAACACAGUGGAACUGGCUUAGAGGUCCAGAGUUGAGUUUGAGGACUAUAGAGGUUAGCCAUAUCAGGGCUUGUCAAGCCCCUAUUCACAGGGAAUAACCACAUACACCUGUAAAACACUCACAUACACUGUGGAAUAUGCUAUGUAGUUCACACCUAUAAAUAUAGAUAGUGUAAUAUAUGUGUGUGUUGUAAUUAUAAACUGAUUGGUGCCUCAUCUACUGUGGAAUAAUGACUUAUGUCACCCGAAACAUGGUUAGCCAGUGCCGAUUGGCUCCUGGUGUUUUGCUUGUGCUGAUUGGUCUAAAUCAGAGUGAUGCUCCAGCUGAUUGAUCUGUAGAUGGCGAGGCCUUGGCUUGUAGUGCCGCCGUCACUUAACUACUUGAUUGAACUGAUUAUGUCACCUCCGGAGGAAAGGAAUCGAAACACCAAAUUGGUCCAAUCAAAGGCAUGAUUAGUUGAAUCAGUCACCUCCUGUUGCAGGGGCACUCCAGGACCGGGGUUUCCCAUUCCUAGUCAACACCCCACACAUACACACACACACACUUUGGUCAGAGAGGAAAGUGAGAUUGUCAGGAGAUUUAUCAAACCAUUUACCCACGCAAUUAAAUGCAAAUGACAAUACACUGCAUUUAAUGGCAGGUCCUGACAUGCUAUACAUGUAGUUUUUCAGGGGUGUGUGGUUAUAUUCUGUGUGUGUGUUCUGGAGGGUAGAAGGUCAUGAACUUUGAACGCCACCAGACGACCCCAGGUUCAGUCUCCCUUUGGGACUUCAUCACUCCUGCACGAUGUUGAUCAAAUUCCAAGAUGGCGUGCU
RNAcentral lists this long non-coding RNA (1043 nucleotides) under Salmo salar (Atlantic salmon). RNAcentral describes it as "lncRNA (ENSSSAG00000092572.1)". The record is from RNAcentral. Lineage: Eukaryota; Metazoa; Chordata; Actinopteri; Salmoniformes; Salmonidae.